Molecule: ribosomal RNA, 253 nt
Filed under: uncultured bacterium
Lineage: Bacteria
Description: partial 16S ribosomal RNA
Rfam family: Bacterial small subunit ribosomal RNA
Source: RNAcentral
UACAGAGGGUGCGAGCGUUAAUCGGAAUUACUGGGCGUAAAGCGUGCGUAGACGGCUAUCUAAGUCGGGUGUGAAAGCCCCGGGCUCAACCUGGGAAUUGCAUUCGAGACUGAAUAGCUAGGGUGCGGUAGAGGGAAGCGGAAUUUCCGAUGUAGCGGUGAAAUGCGUAGAUAUCGGAAGGAACAUCAGUGGCGAAAGCGGCUUCCUGGACCAGCACCGACGUUCAGGCACGAAAGCGUGGGGAGCAAACAGG